RNAcentral lists this ribosomal RNA (253 nucleotides) under uncultured bacterium. RNAcentral's name for it is "partial 16S ribosomal RNA". It matches the Rfam family "Bacterial small subunit ribosomal RNA", at positions 524 to 776 of the family's 1533-position model. The record is from RNAcentral.
GACAGAGGGUGCAAACGUUGUUCGGAAUUACUGGGCGUAAAGGGCUCGUAGGUGGCCAACUAAGUCAUACGUGAAAUCCCUCGGCUUAACCGGGGAACUGCGUCUGAUACUGGAUGGCUUGAGGUUGGGAGAGGGAUGCGGAAUUCCAGGUGUAGCGGUGAAAUGCGUAGAUAUCUGGAGGAACACCGGUGGCGAAGGCGGCAUCCUGGACCAAUUCUGACACUGAGGAGCGAAAGCCAGGGGAGCAAACGGG